GCCUAACACAUGCAAGUCGAACGGAACUUCUUCGACAGAAUUCUUCGGAAGGAAGUUGAUUAAGUUUAGUGGCGGACGGGUGAGUAACGCGUGAGUAACCUGCCUUUGAGAGGGGAAUAACUUCCCGAAAGGGAUGCUAAUACCGCGUGACGCAUAUUUAUCGCAUGGUAGAUAUGCCAAAGAUUUAUCGCUCAAAGAUGGACUCGCGUCCGAUUAGCCAGUUGGCGGGGUAACGGCCCACCAAAGCGACGAUCGGUAGCCGGACUGAGAGGUUGAACGGCCACAUUGGGACUGAGACACGGCCCAGACUCCUACGGGAGGCAGCAGUGGGGGAUAUUGCGCAAUGGGGGAAACCCUGACGCAGCAACGCCGCGUGAAGGAUGAAGGUUUUCGGAUUGUAAACUUCUUUUAUUUAGGACGAACAAUGACGGUACUAAAUGAAUAAGCUCCGGCUAACUACGUGCCAGCAGCCGCCGUAA
Molecule: ribosomal RNA, 479 nt
Filed under: uncultured bacterium
Lineage: Bacteria
Description: partial 16S ribosomal RNA
Rfam family: Bacterial small subunit ribosomal RNA
Source: RNAcentral